UAGGAAUCUGCCUGGUAGUGGGGGAUAACGUUCCGAAAGGAACGCUAAUACCGCGUACGUCCUACGGGAGAAAGCAGGGGACCUUCGGGCCUUGCGCUAUCAGAUGAGCCUAGGUCGGAUUAGCUAGUUGGUGAGGUAAUGGCUCACCAAGGCGACGAUCCGUAACUGGUCUGAGAGGAUGAUCAGUCACACUGGAACUGAGACACGGUCCAGACUCCUACGGGAGGCAGCAGUGGGGAAUAUUGGACUAUGGGCGAAAGCCUGAUCCAGCCAUGCCGCGUGUGUGAAGAAGGUCUUCGGAUUGUAAAGCACUUUAAGUUGGGAGGAAGGGCAGUAAGUUAAUACCUUGCUGUUUUGACGUUACCGACAGAAUAAGCACC
This 380-nucleotide ribosomal RNA is filed under the name uncultured bacterium. RNAcentral's name for it is "bacterial SSU rRNA". It matches the Rfam family "Bacterial small subunit ribosomal RNA", at positions 118 to 494 of the family's 1533-position model. The record is from RNAcentral.